CUGGGGAUAUAGCUCAGUUGGUAGAGCUUGCCUUAUAUGCCCAAGGCCCUGGGUUCAAUCCCCAGCACCAGG
RNAcentral lists this transfer RNA (72 nucleotides) under Marmota monax (woodchuck). RNAcentral's name for it is "tRNA.Ile". It matches the Rfam family "tRNA". From Rfam's summary of the family: Transfer RNA (tRNA) molecules are approximately 80 nucleotides in length. Their secondary structure includes four short double-helical elements and three loops (D, anti-codon, and T loops). Further hydrogen bonds mediate the characteristic L-shaped molecular structure. tRNAs have two regions of fundamental functional importance: the anti-codon, which is responsible for specific mRNA codon recognition, and the 3' end, to which the tRNAs corresponding amino acid is attached (by aminoacyl-tRNA synthetases). tRNAs cope with the degeneracy of the genetic code in two manners: having more than one tRNA (with a specific anti-codon) for a particular amino acid; and 'wobble' base-pairing, i.e. permitting non-standard base-pairing at the 3rd anti-codon position. The record is from RNAcentral. Lineage: Eukaryota; Metazoa; Chordata; Mammalia; Rodentia; Sciuridae.